CGCAAGCCUGACGGAGCAAGACCGCGUGGGGGAGGAAUGCCUUAGGGUUGUAAACCCCUUUUAUCUGGGAAGAACAAAAUGACGGUACCAGAUGAAUAAGCCUCGGCUAACUCCGUGCCAGCAGCCGCGGUAAUACGGAGGAGGCAAGCGUUAUCCGGAAUUAUUGGGCGUAAAGAGUCCGUAGGUGGUGGGGCAAGUCGGCGGUUAAAGACUGGGGCUUAACUCCAGAAAAGCCGUGGAAACUGCACCACUAGAGGGCAGUAGGGGUAGAGGGAAUUCCCGGUGUAGCGGUGAAAUGCGUAGAUUUCGGGAAGAACAUCGGUGGCGAAAGCGCUCUGCUGGGCCGCAACUGACACUCAGGGACGAAAGCUAGGGGAGCG
RNAcentral lists this ribosomal RNA (380 nucleotides) under uncultured cyanobacterium. RNAcentral's name for it is "bacterial SSU rRNA". It matches the Rfam family "Bacterial small subunit ribosomal RNA", at positions 376 to 770 of the family's 1533-position model. Lineage: Bacteria; Bacillati; Cyanobacteriota. The record is from RNAcentral.